This 773-nucleotide ribosomal RNA is filed under the name uncultured bacterium. RNAcentral describes it as "bacterial SSU rRNA". It matches the Rfam family "Bacterial small subunit ribosomal RNA", at positions 43 to 776 of the family's 1533-position model. The record is from RNAcentral.
CGUGCCUAAUACAUGCAAGUCGAGCGAGCUUGCCUAGAUGAUUUUAGUGCUUGCACUAAAUGAAACUAGAUACAAGCGAGCGGCGGACGGGUGAGUAACACGUGGGUAACCUGCCCAAGAGACUGGGAUAACACCUGGAAACAGAUGCUAAUACCGGAUAACAACACUAGACGCAUGUCUAGAGUUUGAAAGAUGGUUCUGCUAUCACUCUUGGAUGGACCUGCGGUGCAUUAGCUAGUUGGUAAGGUAACGGCUUACCAAGGCAAUGAUGCAUAGCCGAGUUGAGAGACUGAUCGGCCACAUUGGGACUGAGACACGGCCCAAACCCCUACGGGAGGCAGCAGUAGGGAAUCUUCCACAAUGGACGAAAGUCUGAUGGAGCAACGCCGCGUGAGUGAAGAAGGGUUUCGGCUCGUAAAGCUCUGUUGGUAGUGAAGAAAGAUAGAGGUAAUAACUGGCCUUUAUUUGACGGUAAUUACUUAGAAAGUCACGGCUAACUACGUGCCAGCAGCCGCGGUAAUACGUAGGUGGCAAGCGUUGUCCGGAUUUAUUGGGCGUAAAGCGAGUGCAGGCGGUUCAAUAAGUCUGAUGUGAAAGCCUUCGGCUCAACCGGAGAAUUGCAUCAGAAACUGUUGAACUUGAGUGCAGAAGAGGAGAGUGGAACUCCAUGUGUAGCGGUGGAAUGCGUAGAUAUAUGGAAGAACACCAGUGGCGAAGGCGGCUCUCUGGUCUGCAACUGACGCUGAGGCUCGAAAGCAUGGGUAGCGAACAGG